Melospiza melodia melodia is the source of this 1687-nucleotide long non-coding RNA. RefSeq lists it as uncharacterized. The transcript is spliced from 3 exons. NCBI's taxonomy places the organism in Eukaryota, Metazoa, Chordata, Aves, Passeriformes, Passerellidae. The record is from RefSeq and is a predicted model, not a curated record.
AUGCCAGCAGGGAUGACAGCAUAAAUGUCCCCUUCUCUCUUGUGUCAUUAGAACGAGAUGCAGCUGCCAGCUCAGGUGCCUGAUCCCAGAGCAGGACUGAAACAAAGGAGAAGCCCAGACGAGUUCUUGUUUUCCUUCUAAAUAACUUGGUUUUGGUCUGCUUGUAAGCAAGCUGGGAUUUUGUCAGCUGUCCCAAGUACCCUCUGAAGGAUUCUUUGUCUGCAGAACUGCUGGGCGCCUGUCAUGCCGGUGGAGACAGAGGUUGUGUGGAAAAUACAAAGAUAGGUCUUGCAGAAGCCUGCACAGUUACUGGAGGCAGUGAUGGAGAAGUUGGUCUCUCGUCAGUUGUUUCCAGUAGAUGCUGCAACCAUGAUCAGCAUACCCUGUGGGGAACAGGGAAGUAUCUGCUUUGCUCAUUUGCUCUGCUUUGGGUUUUCAUGGGGUUCUUUUUUUUUUUUUUUUCAUUUCAUGGCAAACUUUCCUCUAGCCAGUCGCUUCUUAGGUUCCUUGUCAUAGACACCCAUCUUGGUCAACCUGUUUGUGUCUGUUGUCAGCACAUGUUGCAGGUCUCUGGUUUUGGUGUUGUUUCUCACUGUCUUUAAUUUCCACUCUGUGUGAGAUUGUCUCUCAAGUGGAGGUAGGCAAUUGCAGUGAUUCUCAGUUAUGAUGAAUAUUGCUGAGCAAAGUAGAAAUAUGCAUGCAGAAAGCACUUGCAGCAGCAAAUGAAUAUAAUAUAUUGUAUCAUAUACAUUUCAAGGUGAGCAUAAAAAGAGGGGGUUUGCACAUGCUCUUUUUCUUUUUACUACUUUACUGUACCAUGUAUUCUCUCAAGCUGCUAAAGACCUACUAAAAGGGUACAAAAUGAAGCCAUUAGCAGAAACUUGUUUAAGAGCUCCGCACACAUAUGUGCUCUUCAGGUAGCUGGCUGGGCAGUGCUGUGAGGCUCUUACUUGGAGGCUGGAGCAAUAAAUGUCAUGUCAGGGGCCAACUGUCUGUAAUCACAGUUAGCAGGUUGAACAGACUUGUGAAAAUAUUUUCUUUAUGUGAAGGGAGACGCUGCACACUUUGCCACAGCAGAAGUUGCUAAACCUAAUGUAAUAUGACAAGUCCUUUGGCAGCAAAAGCCACAUUUAAAUAGACAUGCUGCCUGUGAAAUGGGAAAGAAACAAAAGCAGUUUUUGUGCAGAAAUGUCACCUCCUCUAUUUUGCAGUAUGUCUCACCUUGUCCUGCUACCACUCCCUUUUUAUUUCUGGCUGACAUUGGCCAUGCAUCAUGGUCUCCUUCCACAUCACCCCAGCCAUCUCCUCCUCCAGGUGCCCCAGGGCCUGGCCUGUCCCAUCCACAGCCCAGCUAGCAAUGCCACCCUGUGUUUAGAAAUCCAGCUCAUGAGGGCUGUCCUGCUCUGCUGGGAGGAACCCUGGCCAUGGAGGGAGGUCUGGCACAUCCCAGCAUCUCCUCAGGGCUGCAGCAGAAAGGAACCCCUGUCACCCCACAAAGCACAAUCAGCAGGGAGCAUGUCCCACACGCCACUGUCGGUGACAGACUCACAUGGCAAAGGGUCUGCAGCACCUUGUGCAGCUGGUGGUGAGGUUCAAGAAGCUUUAGGGCACUGCUGUGAGGCAGUCAGGAGUCUGUCUGUCUGUCCUCUUGCUUGGCCAGUGGCAUCAAGCUAAAGGUGAAGCGAUG